Molecule: long non-coding RNA, 665 nt
Filed under: Androctonus crassicauda
Lineage: Eukaryota; Metazoa; Arthropoda; Arachnida; Scorpiones; Buthidae
Source: RNAcentral
CUAUGUUCUAUGAGUCUUUGCUUUAGCGAUCUCAUGGUGACCCCUAUAUAGACACUUUCUUCGUAGGUGGUAUUGUCUUUUAUGGGUAUUUUAUGUACUCCCGCUUUUCGUUCAGGUUUCGUUUCAUCGUUCUCAUUACGCAGUUGGUUGUACAGUGUGGGGUACCUUCUAUAAGUAAUUUUUUUGUUCGCAUUAUGUGCUGCUUUCUUGAUUGCUUUGGACGUUUUCAUCGCGUAAGGUACAGUUUCGUAUUUUGUGGCUUCUUUCGGCAUGGCGGUUUUGUUUGUGAUGUUUUGUUUCAUUUCAAGGAAAAUCCUCAUUAAGGUGUUCUUGGAGUACCCGUGUGUUCUACCUAUAUUUAGGAUGUACUCUAUCUCGUUGUUCAUAUCCUCUUGCUUGUCUAUGUACAAGAUGGUCCUUUUGAAGUAGUACUUCAUACUUGUAUAAGAUUAUUUUUAAAUAAUGAGGCAUUUCUUCUGAAGGUAUCAGCCCAAACCUGGUUUGCUGCAGAAAAAUUGUAGAUGUGGGACUAAUUAAAUCUGGAUUAUCCAAGAUUUAGUUGUUUAGUGGUUGGUAAGCAGCUAUUUUACAACAUAACUUAUGUGCUUAGUCUUUAAUAUAAGUGUUACAUCAUUAUGACAUACUAAUACUAUAUAACUUAUGCU